Molecule: ribosomal RNA, 427 nt
Filed under: Megaselia berndseni
Lineage: Eukaryota; Metazoa; Arthropoda; Insecta; Diptera; Phoridae
Description: partial 16S ribosomal RNA
Source: RNAcentral
UUUUAGAAAUUAAUUUAAAGUCUAACCUGCCCACUGAAUUUUUUUUAAAUGGCCGCAGUAUUCUAACUGUGCAAAGGUAGCAUAAUCAUUAGUCUUUUAAUUGAAGGCUGGAAUGAAUGGUUGGAUGAAAUAUUAACUGUUUCAUAAAAAUUUAUAAUAGAAUUUUAUUUUUUAAUCAAAAAGUUAAAAUAUAAUUAAAAGACGAGAAGACCCUAUAAAUCUUUAUAUUUAAAAAAUUUUAAUUACAUAGAUAAAUUAAAUUAUAAUUAUUUUAAAUAUUUUAUUGGGGUGAUAUUAAAAUUUAAUAAACUUUUAAUUUAUAAUUAACAUAAAUUAAUGAAUUAUUGAUCCAUUUAUUAUGAUUAUAAAAUUAAGUUACUUUAGGGAUAACAGCGUAAUUUUUUUAGAGAGUUCAUAUUGAUAAAAA